CCUACGGGAGGCUGCAGUGGGGAAUAUUGCGCAAUGGGCGAAAGCCUGACGCAGCGACGCCGCGUGAGGGAUGAAGGUCUUCGGAUCGUAAACCUCUGUCAGCAGGGAAGAAAGGUCACUGUGCUAAUCAGCAGUGAAUUGACGGUACCUGCAAAGGAAGCACCGGCUAACUCCGUGCCAGCAGCCGCGGUAAUACGGAGGGUGCGAGCGUUAAUCGGAAUUACUGGGCGUAAAGCGAGCGUAGGCGGUAUGUCAAGUCAAGGGUGAAAUCCCCGCGCUCAACGUGGGAACUGCCUUUGAAACUGGGUAGCUGGAGUGUAUGAGAGGGUAGUGGAAUUCCUGGUGUAGGAGUGAAAUGCGUAGAUAUCUGGAGGAACAUCAGUGGCGAAGGCGACUAUCUGGCACAUAACUGACGCUGAGGAGCGAAAGCGUGGGUAGCAAACAGGAUUAGAUACCCGAGUAGUC
Molecule: ribosomal RNA, 465 nt
Filed under: uncultured bacterium
Lineage: Bacteria
Description: partial 16S ribosomal RNA
Rfam family: Bacterial small subunit ribosomal RNA
Source: RNAcentral